Lynx canadensis (Canada lynx) is the source of this 2462-nucleotide long non-coding RNA. RefSeq lists it as uncharacterized. The record is from RefSeq and is a predicted model, not a curated record. NCBI's taxonomy places the organism in Eukaryota, Metazoa, Chordata, Mammalia, Carnivora, Felidae. The transcript is spliced from 6 exons.
GGUCUUUUACGUCUGGAUUUGGGAGGCGUUGUGUCGUUUUCGGAACAAUGGCUCUCAGUGGCAUAACGGAGCUGUUACCUGGAGAUGUUCACAUACAAAGGAAAACUAGAAAAUACGUGAGGGAAUAUUUGCUGGGAAAUUACUUGGUUGGAACCUGACCCUUUUACCCAGCAUCCUGGGAGUUGAUGAAUACUAACAGACCUACAAAUGUCACUGGCUAGCAACGUAAUUUUUAAAUGAGGGGUCGCUGUCUUUCCAUUGAAAGAGGCCAGUUUGCUGUGACCUUCCUAAGAUGUAACCCGUUUCUGGUUAAUACCACCAGAUUUACUUGUGAAAAAUCGAUAAGGAAAAGCUCUUCAUUUAACUGACAUGGGAAGAAAACCUACAAAUCAAGACAAUAUUUUUUUAUUUCUGUAAACAGGUUAUGAAACUGCAUCAGAUUCAGAUUAAUGUAUUUGUAAGAUUUAAGCCAUUACUUUUUAUGUCAUACUGCCCUAGAGAAUCCUAACCUGUUAAGUAGAUUACUUUGUAGAUCUAUUUCUAUUUUAAAUACAGGAAUGCAAAGGAAGGUACAUAUUUUUAAUGGAGAAGUCUUUGAUUUCAGUUAACCAGACUUGUAAUCAGCUUAUUGUGAAUGUUUCACCUUUGGCCACCUGUUUGAAUUUAAAAUCUACAAUUGUAAUUAAAGCUGAGUGAAAAUUUACACUGAAUAUUGUGGAAAAGUCCUUAGAUUUUUAUGGAGAGAUGACUCAUUUUGGCAGUAUCACACGGUACAGAUCAUGUUGGGUUUUGUAGCGUACUGAAUAUUACCGGAUUAGUGGUGAGCAAAACGGAAAGACUGAGUCUAUUACUGGGGGAGGGGAAAAUACCAGGCGUUACUGGUUCUAAUUAUUGAAUUCUGGAAUGUUUGGUCCUAAUGAAUUACAGUUUGAAAGGAUGCUUAAGAUGGAAAAUGUGAGGGACACCUUGGUGGCUCGGUAAAACAUCUCAGCUCCUCCAUGCUGGGCAUGAAACCUACUUUAAAAAAAAAAGAUGGGAAAAUGUGGAAUGCUGAAAAUGAAGAGAGCACAGCAUGACAACGGGUCAUGGGGGAAGUUCACUGAUAAAACCAAACAUUGCAUAGAAUGGAUUUAGUGUAGACAGUAAUAGCAUCUGAUCUAACCAAGAUGGUUUGGCCCCAUGCAUGAUCAUUUUCCCUAAAUAGCUACAUGAAUAAAUUGUUGCUAAGCCUAUACUUCAGUGUUAGUCAAAAGAAUAUUCUUGUCAGCUUAUGAUUAUGAACUACCUUUUUUCCUAAAAUGUUUUCUUAGUGAAAAUACGUUGGACCCAUGUAGUUUAAGAGGCUCAGUGACAACCAUGCCAUUUAGUGGGUAGGUACAUAGUAGAUUUGCUCAUGUAUUGCAAUGGUGUACAAAAUGCACCUUGGAAAAUGUAUAUUGAAGCCAUAUUAAAAUAGGUAUUAAUGCUGUCAGACUUCAAAUAAUCUGGGUCUCCACACACUUAUAUGGUAGGUGCAAGGAAUUCCACAGUGGCCAUACAGUCAAGAGAACAUAUAGAAUGAACUGUAAGUCUGCAGGAAAUAACCAUGCUUUACAUGGAUUAUUCAUAGGAAGCAAGAGUUCCCUAAACUGAGACACCAAGGUGUGGUCCCCUUAAUGCAAAGGCCUUAAGGCUUGCUAAAAUCCAGCAAAGGGAAAAGCCACUUGGUAUAAUAGAUUACAUGUGUAAUGGGAUUUUGCUAUAUUAACAAAAGAAAAGUGGUUGGGGUCUGUACAACCUUUUCAAGAAACUACCCUUUUUGACAAAGCUGGCACCUCACUUCAAAACAAGUUGUGAAAUAGAUAAAAUUUGCUUUGGAGCACUCUGACCUCUUCCUGCAAUUUCUAUUGUUGCUCCUUACCCUCUCAAUUGAUCUGGUAAUAUGCCACAUGUCUUUAGUUUAUUAUAAUGUGCAUUUUAUGGAUUGCAGUGUUACUGGGCUCUGCUAAGGAGGUUAGAAGUAAAACACUUCCUAUGUCCUCAUUUUGUUAAUAGCGACAUGAAAUGCCAAGAAAACCAAAGGCAGGCUAUAAAGAAAGUGAGAGAAAAAAUGUCUUGAGAUUGAAGAAGUGGAUUUGAGUCAAAACCAUCUCAGAUGAGAUGUGAGAAAGAUAACAUUUUUGGCAUAAACACUUGGAGCAAAGAUUAUAUGCUCCAGGACCUCAGAAUGAUGAAUUUGAAAUUUAGGUAUCAAUUGUGUGGUUAGAUGUAGGACAAACAAGGUAGAAGAUAGGCUGAAAUGUUUUGGGGUGACAGUAAAAACCUAUGGUUAUUUGAAUUCCCUAAAACAUUUUCAGGGGGAAGGCACAUAGCAGAAAAUCACAUUUAGUCCCUUUGACUCUAUACAGAGUGUACACUUGAACAAGUAAGUCAGGUCCAAAAAGGUACGCUUUAGUGGAAUUAAGCUUGAAAGCUCAACAUGU